UGCCUGAGCUGGCAUCCUCUUCCUCCUGUCGGCGGGAGGUGUGGAUCACCUACUGCGUGCGGGGAACAAACGCCGCCCCAGUACCGGUCCCUGCAGCGGAGUAGCCUUCACCUGCAAGGUGAACGCCUGCUCACCACGUAAUCCCCAAACGCAGAUAUCACGUUGUCUCUGCAACUUUCCCUGACAACCACCCAAUGCAAUUAAUUAUCCCACAAUAGUAUCUCCCGCAGGCUCUCUGUAGAACCAUAGAAUUCAUCCAUCAAAAUACAAUCAUUUGUUGAUCCGUCUCUCUCUGCCGCCCCCAAAUGUGAAUUCCUUGAGUCAGAGACUAUUCUACUCAGCAAAACAUUUGUGAGUGGAAUUAAAUUGAAAUAAACCGUUAUAGUCCACUCACAGAUGGAAAACACAUAGUAAAAUCCUAGAAUUCCAUUUCUCCCCUGAAAAUUUCCCAGACAGUCAGAGGGAGUUUCAUUCUUUCCUGUUUACUUUUCUCCCAAAUAGGCCUUCUGAGGCAGCAGAAUAGGGAAGGAAGUCAGAAGACUGACCAGCUCAUACCUAUGGAAUGCCUAUCAUACAUACACUUAAAAUUAUGGCAAGCUCACGCAGGCGCACUAAGAGAGAAAAAACAAGAAAACAGAUAUGACAAUUAUAGGAAAUCCCCUCCCUAGAGUUAAAGAAGUGUAGGAAGUGGGUAUAAAAGAACAAAGGCUAUAUUAAUCCAGGGCUGACACCACUUGAAGAUAAGCCCGUUCCUCUCUCUGGUAUAUUCUUUGCUUAAUAAAUCUUGUGGGGUGGUUAUUUGUGUGUCUCAUCCAAUUCUUUGUUCAUAACACCAAGAACCUGGAACUCCCAACUUCCAAUCUGGUAACAUAUUUUGGUGAGCCAGCCAGGAGGGUCAAGCCUGCAAUACCUAAAGCUCCAGACCUGGAACCCAAAGCUCCCAUCAGUCGCUACCCUGUGAACCUGUGGAGGAUCUGAAGUACCUGUUUAAAAGGCAUCCAAAAGAUAGAAUCUAUCAAGCUACAAAUGGCUAUGUUGCCUGAAGCCCCAGACAUCAUCCUACAAGAAAUAAGUCCAGACUUCUUAAUUUCCCCCUGGAUAGAGCAGGGUGGGAUUAAGUAAUUUACCAGAAAUCACGAAGUAAAUCAUAGAGCCUUGACUUGAACUCAGGAAGUUAACACAAUUCUGGGAAUAUAGCAGGCUGCCAAGAAAGGGAGCUCCGAAGGACAAUGACCAAAUAUGGAAAUAUUCAGACAAAGAUCAAUUAAACUUUGUGGAGACAUAGAGUUAUCAGAGUCCUAAAAGUUCAAUUAGACCAACCUCCAACAUAGAACACAGACUUCCUCUGCAACCUCUCCAACAGAUGGCCAUCCCAGCUGCCACCUAAACAAGUCCAAUGACAAAAGAGAGUGCUCUACUUGUUAAAGCAGCUCAUUGCAUUGCUGAACGUCUUUGCUGGAAAAAGUCUUCUUUAUAUGAAGCUAAAAUCUGUUUCUCCAUAAGUAUGAGCAAUUUGUUCCAAGCAAUCAAAAGAAAAUGAAUUUUUUGUCUCAUGCAUGUGAUAACUCUUCAGAACAAAUAACCCAGAUCCUUCCAUUUUUGCUCACUUGACAUGGUCUCCAAGCCCAUCCCUUAUCUGGCUAACCCCUCUGGAGUAGAAACAGUCUAGUUUCUCGGUUUUUUUAUUAAAAUGUAUUCCCAGAAA
RNAcentral lists this long non-coding RNA (1705 nucleotides) under Homo sapiens (human). Its description in RNAcentral is "HSALNT0319737". The record is from RNAcentral. Lineage: Eukaryota; Metazoa; Chordata; Mammalia; Primates; Hominidae.